Parus major (Great Tit) is the source of this 2412-nucleotide long non-coding RNA. RefSeq lists it as uncharacterized. The transcript is spliced from 2 exons. The record is from RefSeq and is a predicted model, not a curated record. NCBI's taxonomy places the organism in Eukaryota, Metazoa, Chordata, Aves, Passeriformes, Paridae.
AUCUGUGUGGGUUCAACAGCAGAACACCUCAGAGCCAGCCCCAUGGGGCAGCACACAUGCACACAAAAGCUUUUAUUAUGUGAAACAAGAACUAAAGCUGCCUGAGACACAGCAGCAGAUGCAAGGGAGAUACUCCUCUGAUCCUGCUGGAGCAGAGCACAGCACUGACCACCAUCCCCCUGCCACAGCUGGUCUGGCCACAGGCACACAGCCACACACCAGCCCACCUGGCUCUGCAAGAACCCACUUCUGAUUAAAGCAUGCAGCCACCACACUGACAGUGUUCUAAAUUGAAAUUUAAAUACAUUAUCUGACAAAAUACGGUAUUUGGCAGAGCUGCCAGGAGCACUAAUGAAGACUGGGGUGUGAAGGGGGAGCAGCAACUUCAAUGAAUCAAACACAGGAGCUCAGACUGGCACUGGAGUCCCGUGUGGGACAGCAGCCAGAGCUUGCAUGUCACCAACUCUGCAACUGCCAUGUCAGGUGACAAAGGCACUCCUCAGCCUUCAUCAACCACUCUUUAAAAAGCCAAAAUAAAUUCUACCUGGGUGCUGUAACCAAAAUGUUUUAGGUUCCUGAACUAUGAGAGAGGUGAGGUGGCUGUGACAAGCUCUGAGCAAACCCUGACCAUGCAGCAGUACCACAGUUCCACACAGGCCCAUCCCUCUAGGCCUUAGAUCCCCCACCAGCUCAGUCUUCCACUGCUCUGGGAAUCUGUCACAUGUUUUUGAGCCAUUUGCAUGCUAAGGCUGAACAGGAAAAAAACCCAAACCUUUCUAUCCAAGGAGAGACUACAAACACGGCCUGGCACCAGCCUCUGACAGCUUCAUACCAUGGUUCAGAAAGGAGGAAGAGCAAUGCUGCACCUGUUCCAUGGUAUGCUAACUUUCCAAAGUCAGAAAGCAUCAGGACACUGCCCACAGACAGGGGCUCACAACUGUCCCAACAGCCAGGGCUGCAAUGACUUGCACCAGCUUCUAAAUACUGCUGUUCCAAGGGCUCUGGAAAUCUACUCAAGCUCCAAUCAAGAAAGGUUUUUUCUGCUCCUGAUUUGGAGGGCCAGGCAGAAAUGAGAUCCAUAUAAAUUCCUGGGUGAGAACUCUGAGCAGAGACUACUGCAGUCCCUGCUUUACCAGCACAGUUCAGCCCUCACUGGAGGCAGUGGAACCAGGAAUGGGAAGAAAAUUCCAGGAGGGUUCAAAGGGAGCUGAGAUAGCAGUGAUACCCUGUUGAGGAUUAGGAUUUUCCCUUUUGUUUCUUUCUCCAGUGGAAUUUUGUCCCAUCUACUGCUGAAUGACAAUAGACCAGUACUUAAGAGAGACUAAAGAAAUGGCCAUGGUGGGGGAAAUACGUAGCUUGUUACUCUCUUACCUGGGGGGGUUUCUCUUUGGAAGGGCAAAGAUACCAUGAGAUUUUGGCUGGGGGGGUGAGGGGUUGGGCUCAGCUCCUCUCACUCUCUUGCUGUUGGCAACAGAGGAGGACGGCCAAGCUGUUGCUUACUGUGGGGAGAAUUCGCUGCCACCACCAGAGCCCAGCCCUGUACUGCUUCUCCUACCGUGGGUGAGCCAUUGUUCAUAACAGCCACCACUGAACUGGGACCUUAUGAACACCCUACCUCACUGGAAAAACCACAGAACAAUCUGAACUGGAAGGGACCCACAAGGAUUAUCGAGUCCAAGUCCUCAGUGAACGGCCUGUAUGGGGAUUGAACCCACAACACUGUCAUUAUCAGCACCUUGCUCUAACCAACUGAGCUACUCUCACAAACAGGCUGUCUUCAGCUGGCAAGAAAUCAGCAUCAGGAAUACAAAAAACUCCAAACCAAACACUAGCCAACAAAUUUAAGAGAAAAUAACAAAAAAAAAAAAUAUCCCUCAAACUUUGAAGUUAUUUACUUGAUAAAUCAACAACAGCUCUUCCCAAACUGCAAAAACAGCUCCAGGGAACGCUUCCUUAUUGCCUAGGCAAUAAGUUAAGCUAGAAUUGUUUUAACAUCUGGGGAAACAUCUUCACUGAUAAUGGCUCCAGACUGCAUCCUGCCCAAAUCUCAUCUCCCCUGAGAGCUGGAGGUGAAGGCGUCCAUCACAGAAAGUAUGUGCCCUGACAGACUUAAACUGCAUGAGUUUUUGGGAUUUGGAACCUUCCCACACAGUUGUUCACUUCCAUUACCACCAUCUUCAAACUGUUUAUUGCACCAUUCCCAAAAGCCCUGGCACAGAGAAGGUCCCCCAUUAAGACAGCACACAAACACAUUAAGAUGGACCACACAGAAUGGAUAUGAAGAAGACAUUCUCAAUUUUAACAUAUUACUCAAGCUCUGGAAUUUGAAACUAUUUCAAAUCUAUGUUAAAUUUUGGUGCCUGCAGAGCAGAACAGUUUAGUACUUGACCCAGGGGGAAAAAAAAAAAAAAA